This 420-nucleotide ribosomal RNA is filed under the name uncultured bacterium. RNAcentral's name for it is "bacterial SSU rRNA". It matches the Rfam family "Bacterial small subunit ribosomal RNA", at positions 358 to 770 of the family's 1533-position model. The record is from RNAcentral.
GGAAUAUUGGACAAUGGGCGAAAGCCUGAUCCAGCCAUGCCGCGUGUGUGAAGAAGGUCUUCGGAUUGUAAAGCACUUUAAGUUGGGAGGAAGGGUUGUAACCUAAUACGUUGCAAUUUUGACGUUACCGACAGAAUAAGCACCGGCUAACUCUGUGCCAGCAGCCGCGGUAAUACGGAGGGUGCGAGCGUUAAUCGGAAUUACUGGGCGUAAAGCGCGCGUAGGCGGUUUUUUAAGUCGGAUGUGAAAUCCCCGGGCUUAACCUGGGAACUGCAUCCGAUACUGGGAGACUUGAGUACGAGAGAGGGAGGUAGAAUUCCACGUGUAGCGGUGAAAUGCGUAGAUAUGUGGAGGAAUACCGGUGGCGAAGGCGGCCUCCUGGUUCGAUACUGACGCUGAGGUGCGAAAGCGUGGGGAGCA